RNAcentral lists this transfer RNA (84 nucleotides) under Trametes cingulata. Its description in RNAcentral is "tRNA-Asn". It matches the Rfam family "tRNA". From Rfam's summary of the family: Transfer RNA (tRNA) molecules are approximately 80 nucleotides in length. Their secondary structure includes four short double-helical elements and three loops (D, anti-codon, and T loops). Lineage: Eukaryota; Fungi; Basidiomycota; Agaricomycetes; Polyporales; Polyporaceae. The record is from RNAcentral.
UGCCCCAUGGCUGAGUUGGUUACAGCGUCCGACUGUUAUUUCUCUGACAUCGGAAGGUCGUGAGUUCGAGCCUCACUGGGGCAG